This 590-nucleotide ribosomal RNA is filed under the name Trichoderma harzianum. RNAcentral describes it as "eukaryotic LSU rRNA". The stretch from base 218 to 371 matches the Rfam family "5.8S ribosomal RNA". The record is from RNAcentral. Lineage: Eukaryota; Fungi; Ascomycota; Sordariomycetes; Hypocreales; Hypocreaceae.
UGCGGAGGGAUCAUUACCGAGUUUACAACUCCCAAACCCAAUGUGAACGUUACCAAACUGUUGCCUCGGCGGGAUCUCUGCCCCGGGUGCGUCGCAGCCCCGGACCAAGGCGCCCGCCGGAGGACCAACCAAAACUCUUAUUGUAUACCCCCUCGCGGGUUUUUUUAUAAUCUGAGCCUUCUCGGCGCCUCUCGUAGGCGUUUCGAAAAUGAAUCAAAACUUUCAACAACGGAUCUCUUGGUUCUGGCAUCGAUGAAGAACGCAGCGAAAUGCGAUAAGUAAUGUGAAUUGCAGAAUUCAGUGAAUCAUCGAAUCUUUGAACGCACAUUGCGCCCGCCAGUAUUCUGGCGGGCAUGCCUGUCCGAGCGUCAUUUCAACCCUCGAACCCCUCCGGGGGGUCGGCGUUGGGGAUCGGCCCUGCCUUGGCGGUGGCCGUCUCCGAAAUACAGUGGCGGUCUCGCCGCAGCCUCUCCUGCGCAGUAGUUUGCACACUCGCAUCGGGAGCGCGGCGCGUCCACAGCCGUUAAACACCCAACUUCUGAAAUGUUGACCUCGGAUCAGGUAGGAAUACCCGCUGAACUUAAGCAUAU